GCGGCAUGAAAAUGUGAAACCUCUCCCGCUAGAAAUAGAAUCUGCUGGGGGGUUCACAUUUUUAAGUUGU
Molecule: microRNA precursor, 70 nt
Filed under: Gallid alphaherpesvirus 2
Lineage: Duplodnaviria; Heunggongvirae; Peploviricota; Herviviricetes; Herpesvirales; Orthoherpesviridae
Description: microRNA mdv1-mir-M3 precursor
Gene: mdv1-mir-M3
Source: miRBase by way of RNAcentral